CCCCUAGACGUUCUGGGCUGCACGCGCGCUACAAUAAUACGCAAAGCGAGUAUCACCGAGCUCGAAAGGGCAAGGUAAACAAUAGAAAAGGUACUGUAAUGGUUAUAGAUCCUUGUAAUUAUUGAUCUUCAACGAGGAAUUCCUAGUAAGUAUGUGUCAUCAUCACGCACUGAUUACGUCCCUGCCCUUUGUACACACCGCCCGUCGCUCCUACCGAUUGGGUGAGCCGAUGAAACUCUCGGAUGUAGGCUAUUCAUAGCCCGCAGAAGAGAUUUGAAUCGUAGCGCUUAGAGGAAGGAGAAGUCGUAACA
RNAcentral lists this ribosomal RNA (311 nucleotides) under uncultured eukaryote. RNAcentral's name for it is "partial 18S ribosomal RNA". It matches the Rfam family "Eukaryotic small subunit ribosomal RNA", at positions 1470 to 1796 of the family's 1831-position model. The record is from RNAcentral.